AAUUUUGUAUCUGCCUUCAUCACCAGAGAGCUGAUGUUCCAACCAGCUGCUCAGACUUGUGAAACCCAGAAGACUGAUGAGCAAGAAAUGUUUGUGUGACUGGGAGAUUGACAGCGAGUUGUAGUGUGAUAGUGAGCACUGAACUCACCCAUCCAAACGAGAACAAUCUGGACAGAGAAUGGAGAAAACUCGAAAGGAAGAGAAGAGUGGGAGGGAGCGUAGGAGCACCGUGGGAUCAGGGCAUUAAAGCUCCAGUCAAAGAGGAGAAGGAUUGACAGGAGGAGGAGAAGAAAGUCUAAGACACCUGUGGUGGAAGCACUCAGCUCACUGUUUAGUUGGGGUGGGGGUGUCUGAGGGGUGAAGUGACUUACUGGAGAGCUCAGUGUUUGAGCGUACCAGACCAGACCAUGCUGGGCCUGCACUGCGGUGAACAGCCGCACUGUAAUAACUCAGGGACUGGGGGGCUGAAAGACGAUAGCCUGGCAGGAAUUGGUUUACAGCCAAAGAAGCCAACACUUGUGGAUGCUGACUUCCCUUUUAGACAGAGACAAACCUAAAGCAGUGGGUGUAAAAGCAGCCUUCCUGUCUAUGAUGACAUAGGUGUACAGACCUGUAUCAGGUCAGCCAAUGGAAACUAGAUGAAGGAAGAGGACACGGUGGUGAAGGCUGGCUAGAAGGGUUCUCAAAGCUGAUGAGAGUGAUGGGUGGUAUGGAAGUGGCCUUUUAACAGUUGGUUCUACCAGGUGUUUUGCAGAAAGAAAAGGUCUUUCCUCUUUGUGAGAGGAUUAAGAAACAGGAUACAUUCCGCUGGUUUCACACCAGCUGGUGCCCAAGAUUCCAGCAUGUUUCUGGUUCAUUACUGCUGUUUUUGAUGUGGUGUUAAAUAGCCGUAAUAAUCGAGACUCUGACAGUAGAAAGUGUUGAGGACUUAGGAGAUUACUUAAAAGCCGUUACUACAAAAUGUAAAUACUUCCAUGAAAACAUCCUCAUAAAAAUUUCUCUUUCAAUUCAAUUCAAUUCAAUUCAAGUUUAUUUAUAUAGCGCCAAAUCACAAGAGUCGUCUCAAGGCACUUCACACAGUAAACAUUCCAAAACAGUUCAGUUCAUAAAGCCAAUCAGUAAAAGUUUCCUAUAUAAGGAACCCAGCAGAUUGCAUCAAGUCACUGACUGUUAUCAGUGACUUGAUGCAAUCCUCAUAUUAAGCAAGCAAGUAGCGACAGUGGAGAGGAAAACUCCCUUUUAACAGGAAGAAACCUCCAGAGGAUCCUGGUUCAGUGUAAGCAGACAUCCACCACAACUCACUGGGGAUCGAGAAGACAGAGCAGACGCACGUACACACCAACACACACACACACACACACACACACACACACACACACACACACACACACACACACACACACACACACACACACACACACACACACACAACGCGUGAUGUUUCCAUGGCUACAUUGUGAUUUCUUAGUAAAGAUUCUAUUUGGUGAGAGAUAAACUUUAUUGUAUUUAUCCUAGUGAAUCUAUAAUUAAACGGGAAAACUAGUAGUAGCACAUUCAAUGUCAAAGAAAGUAAAAUGUUAUUAUCAGGAGAAUGAGAAUGUUUACGUGAUUUGCAGCAGUGUGCUAGACGAUGGCCCCCUCCAUGAGAGCACCACAGCUCAGCAGAACGUCAUUGUAGCUUCUUCUGGGGAGAAAAACACUUAGAGAAAAAUAAAGUUAACAGCUGAAAUAGCAGGAAAUAAUACAGUUAAAGAGCAAAUUGUAGAAGAAAGUAGUCAAGUGUGGAAAGUGGUCAGUAUGUCCUCCAGCAGUCUAAGCCUAUAGCAGCAUAACUACAGAGAUAACUCUGGAUAAUCUAGCCUUUUAGAUGGAGGCAUGUUGGAGGCAGGGCAAGGGAGAGCCGUCUUUACCGACUGUACACUCCACCUCCCUCUACUCCCCCACUUGUCCAGAUAGGCUAACAUCAGAUUUUAACCAUGAGCCCUAUAAAAUAGGCUCUAGCCAAAAGUUUUGUGUGCUGCCUAUUUUCUUAAAAUUCAUUUUGUGGUAUUUCUGAAUUUAGGCCAAUACUCCGAACCACGGUGCUUGUGUGCUCAUAGGUAGCGUCAACUUUCACUGAGUUCUAUAACCUUAGAAAAGUUGGAUGGGUGGAUAGAAGAAUGAUGGUAAGAAAAUUAAACGAUAGAUGAACAGAGGGAUGGCAUUGGCUCGGGGGCUUGGAAUUAGCACUGCAACUGUAGGGUUGCUGGUUCUAACCCAAGCUCUGUCCGUGCCAGCCCUUGCCUGCUGGUGGUGGUCGGAGGGGGUGGAGGUGCAGUAUGGCAACUUUGUCUCUGUCAGUGUGCCCCAGGACACCUGUGGCUACAAUGUAGCUCAUCACCAUCCAUGUGUGUGUGUGUGUGUGUGUGUGUGUGUUAAUGCCUGCCUGUAGUAUAAAGUGCUUUUUAGAGUCCUCUGAUUCAAACAGAACAGCUCUAUAUGAGUGUGUUAUCACUAUCAUUUAAAUGUAUGCACAACAUGUUUUUACUUGACGAACAUAUGGAUGGAUUCAUGGAAAAAUAGAUGUAUGCAUAUUUUUUACAUUACGUUUGUUUCGUGUUUUUAAACUUUUUUUCAUUUUUGAUAAUUUCACUAAAACACACAAACUCUGUUUUUUACCAUAAAACUCAGCCUUUGAGUAUUAAAUGCCUGUAAUUCCAGUUUUUUAGUGUCAAAGAGAAUAUGUGCAUUUUAUAUCACCCUAACUUUUUUAAAGAUCAGACAAGUCCAACUGACAGCCAACAUAUUUUCUUCUUACCGCAUUUGUGCUGCUGCUGGUCCCACUGGAUCCCUGUGGGGAAAGCUGUGAGAUGUUUUGAGAGCAGUAAGUCAACACUGACUGGUGGCCACAGAUGGUCUGCGGUAAUGGCUCGUGUUGCUGUUAGUGGUGGGCAGCUAACCCACCCAGGGUAAACAGUCAAACAAACACAGGGGUUACAUCAGGGUUGUUUCGGUUACGUCCAGAGAUCCUGCUGAAUGGAAUAACAAGCUGUCAGUUCACUAAGACAAAAUGAUGUCUCACAGGCUGUGAGUCAGUAUCUGCAGCUUUAAUCAACUCAUCUAGAAAUGAGAACAAUCAUCACUAAAGCAGACAAAGUGCAACACUUUUUCCACUUUGAAGAAAAUCUACUUUAAAUAGAUCAGUAAUUUGCAUGUUGAUAUUUGAAUGGCAAUGUCUCUGCUGCAGAUUCCCACAGAUGCCCUUGCUUUCUCCGUCUUGGGAGUGUAUUAAGGCACCGACUCCCACUGUAACUGGAGGGUGUGGAAGCUACCAGCUAAACACAAUGAGCUUGGGCAGAAAACAAUAGGCACAUACACACAUAAGAUUUGGUCCAACAUAUAGCUGGACCUCCCCUCCCCCAACCUUUUUUCUCCCCCUCAGUGAUUGAUUGCUUUCCUCACUCUCUGGACUUGGCGUGUGCUGUGGCCUCACCGGACUCUCCAGCAGACCACUGGGAACUGGGCGGUUUUUCCUUUCACUGACUUCAAACCUCCAAACAGAUUAUUUGAACGGAAAAGGAUAUUGAACCAGUGCGUUUCCUGUAUUUCCUGUUUGAAGAAAGACAUGGAAGAGGGAUGGAAACAACCCCUGUUGGGUGGAGGAGUUGUCACAGGAAGUCAGAUUGCUAUCCACUGGGUGUGCAAGUGUUCUGCAGCUGGAGAGCGGCUGCUCUGGGAAGCCUUAUCCUCAGGGAAUUAAAUGGGAUUUAGCACACACACACACACACACACACACACGCACACACACACACACACACACACACACGCACGCACGCACGCACGCACACACGCACGCACGCACGCACACACACACACACACACACACACACAGGGUGAAAUGCAUGCUCAAACACAUGCACAAUCACACAAAUGCAUGCAAAACAUCUAAACGUAUUAAUACAAACUACUUUAAUACACUUCAAAUGCUCUGGAAUUUGGACAUAAAGAAUAAGUGAAAUGUCAUCAAUUUUAUCAGCAGUAUUUUGUAGCGGAAUAUAGUUGGUAUAUUCUUACACUUUUAUUAAGGUUCAGAGAUAUCACUGAUCCAGACCUGAGCUGGAUCAUUACAGGGAAUUUUAUUCAAACACCUUGUAUUGAAUUAGAGACAAGAAGAGAGAGAGAGAUGGGACGUUUAAGAAUUUUUAUUUUAUAAUUAUUUGAAACAAUCUCCAGGACUAACUCUCUAAUGAUGGAUGCAGAUGAAUGUAAUGCUGAAGUGUUGGUGUGUGUGUGUCAGUUCAGAAUCUCCAUCUGGUGGAAGCGAGUCUGAGUGCGAGGUGUUGUUUGCCCUAACUGACCGACGAUGGACUUCAGGAGGAAGACAUGAGACGCAAUCUAUGCCGAUCUACGUACCGUGCGGAGACUUCCGUGUUAGAUCCGGAUGCCAGGUCCUUGGACCCUCCUUGUGCUGGAACUGGUGAAACAGCGUCGGCAGCACGACAAACCAGUCUAUGGAUAGUGUCCCGGUACAACGGCAGGUUUCCAGCGUCACGUAGAGACCCCCCUUAUUGGGUCAUAGAGUUCAGCUUUUAUUCUGAAGGAACCGUCGUCUUGUUGAUAAUACUCAGCUUAAAAGUAGAAAAUACAGCUGGCCAGUCUGUACUUCACUUAGCGAUGAUGGACAUCAGAUGGAUUUGAGAGCUGGUUGAACUCACGUUGGAACUACGUUGAACCUUGCGGUGGAACUGAAUUAAAAUGGCGUUUUUCUGUUUUAUUAAGCUUAGAUGUUUAUGAUUCUUAGCGAAUCGGAGUGGACAGAUUAACUAAACACCACAGAACUCUGCCACGCAUCAGAGAGGAAGUUCUGAUUGGAUGAGUGAACAAUGUGUCAUGUGUUUACCUUAUGUGGAUCAGGAUGUCUAGCUCAAUUAGCCCAAGUCCUGUUAUUCAUUAAACACAUAAAUCAUAACAUUGUGAUUUCACAGAUCGGUCACCUGAUUAUUAUUGACCAACAGUUGUUUUGAUUAGCUUUAUUAGAAAUAAAGUUCUUUGAUUAACUAAUGAAAAGCAUUCUUCGUCCUUCUUCUGUCUUCUUUGCUGGAA
Long non-coding RNA from Nothobranchius furzeri (turquoise killifish), 5082 nucleotides. RefSeq lists it as uncharacterized. NCBI's taxonomy places the organism in Eukaryota, Metazoa, Chordata, Actinopteri, Cyprinodontiformes, Nothobranchiidae. The record is from RefSeq and is a predicted model, not a curated record.